RNAcentral lists this ribosomal RNA (200 nucleotides) under uncultured bacterium. RNAcentral describes it as "partial 16S ribosomal RNA". It matches the Rfam family "Bacterial small subunit ribosomal RNA", at positions 29 to 258 of the family's 1533-position model. The record is from RNAcentral.
AACGAACGCUGGCGGCAGGCUUAACACAUGCAAGUCGAACGCCCCGCAAGGGGAGUGGCAGACGGGUGAGUAACGCGCGGGAAUCUACCGUGCCCUGCGGAAUAGCUCCGGGAAACUGGAAUUAAUACCGCAUACGCCCUACGGGGGAAAGAUUUAUCGGGGUAUGAUGAGCCCGCGUUGGAUUAGCUAGUUGGUGGGGU